AAAGAAAUUAAUUGAAUGAAAUUAUUUAUUUUGAAUUUAAUUCGGCCACUGCAUUGAAAUAAGGAAAAUUAAGUAAAAAAAAUACAUUAUCCUACAAAAUCACUAAGCCAUCUAACAUUACCAUUUGUCAUUCAAUUGUUGCAUACCAUGGACAGUGCCUCGGUUUUGCAUUUCCUAAAACCUGAUACCAGGCCACUAAACCCUCUGCGGGUGAGAAAAACAAUCAUUUCCUAAAUAAAACUAAAGAACAGAAAAAUGUAAACCCUAAAACUUAAUUUCCCUUGCCCUCUCUUUCUGUUGCUGCGUCACCGGAUGUCUCUUCUACAAUAGACCUGGUAAAUAAACCCAUUGUCCUCAUCUUAAUUUUUCCUCCCAGAUGUUGACCCUUUCUCUUCUCCGGACUCAACCCACCACAACCACCGAUAUUCUUUCACUAAGCACUUCUCCCUUGAUCCCUUAGUGCUAUGGGUUCAACCUCUAAUGGAGCUUCUUCCACCCAGAAAGUCGAAGAGUCGCUUCUUCUUCCCCAGGCAGCCAUCGCAUGCGCUGCUCCGUUGGCUUCUCGCGCUUUUUUAUGACGAUUCUUGAGUCCUCUUCGAUGAUUACACUGCCAAACCCCAUUUCUUCUGCAAAGAUAACUCCUUAAAGGCAUGCAUACGCUUCGGAGGUUGUCGGAUCUCAAACGUUGUUGAUCGAAGGUAAUGUUGCAAUAUUGAAAAAUAUGGCUAACUGACUCAUCUUGUUCUCCACAUAGCGGGCAUAGGGCAACAUAUCUCAGCCUACGGGCUUUUAAGUUACUUAAUGUAGGCAAGAAAUUACUUGUAAUUAUUCUCCAUAGAUUGAGUCGUACCUUGCUGGGAAUCUUUAGGCUCCAAGUUUUUGUAUAAUAACUUCUAGUUAGUUCCAGAUAUGUUGUUAGUUCAUUUCCCAGCAGGUUUAAUUCCUCUAUGACACAUCGUCUGUAACCAUUUUUUGUCAUGUAUUCCCUCUACCUGUCACCUCGCCAAACCUUUGUAUCUGGUUGUAAGGUGUUCCCUAAGGGGAUGGAGCCAAUUAUCUUUGCUUGUUCUUCAGGGAAAA
Molecule: long non-coding RNA, 1080 nt
Organism: Gossypium arboreum
Lineage: Eukaryota; Viridiplantae; Streptophyta; Magnoliopsida; Malvales; Malvaceae
Exons: 3
Source: RefSeq, a predicted model, not a curated record